Molecule: ribosomal RNA, 239 nt
Filed under: uncultured Lactobacillus sp.
Lineage: Bacteria; Bacillati; Bacillota; Bacilli; Lactobacillales; Lactobacillaceae
Description: partial 16S ribosomal RNA
Rfam family: Bacterial small subunit ribosomal RNA
Source: RNAcentral
CCGUAGCCCAAGAGAUCGGGAUAACACCUGGAAACAGAUGCUAAUACCGGAUAACAACAGAUGAUGCCUAUCAACUGUUUAAAAGAUGGUUCUGCUAUCACUCUUGGAUGGACCUGCGGUGCAUUAGCUAGUUGGUAGGGUAACGGCCUACCAAGGCGAUGAUGCAUAGCCAAGUUGAGAGACUGAUCGGCCACAUUGGGACUGAGACACGGCCCAAACUCCUACGGGAGGCAGCAGUC